RNAcentral lists this ribosomal RNA (253 nucleotides) under uncultured bacterium. RNAcentral describes it as "partial 16S ribosomal RNA". It matches the Rfam family "Bacterial small subunit ribosomal RNA", at positions 524 to 776 of the family's 1533-position model. The record is from RNAcentral.
GACAGAGGUGCCAAGCGUUAGGCGGAAUCACUGGGCUUAAAGCGUGUGUAGGCGGAUUUGUAAGUACCUUGUGAAAUCCCACGGCUCAACCGUGGAACUGCUCGGUAUACUGCGAAUCUUGAGCCACUUAGGGGCUACCGGAACAAAUGGUGGAGCGGUGAAAUGCGUAGAUAUCAUUUGGAACGCCAAUGGUGAAAACAGGUAGCUGGGAGUGUGCUGACGCUGAGACACGAAAGCCAGGGGAGCGAACGGG